This is a non-coding RNA of Xyrichtys novacula (pearly razorfish), 302 nucleotides long. The record is from the annotation of a GenBank genome assembly. Lineage: Eukaryota; Metazoa; Chordata; Actinopteri; Labriformes; Labridae.
GUACCUUCAACGCCGCGCUAAGACGGAGCAGCAGCGGCUGACGACAGGUGUUCAACAGGUGAUGUGUCGUAGAAUGAACCCCUGACAGGAGCGCGGUUCAAAGUUCAUAACAAGGAGAAAUAAUCAGAGUUUUCUUCAACAUCAGGUGGAUUCUAAAGUGUUUAAUGAUAUAAUUCAGACUAUUCAGAUAAACUGAAAACAAAAGUUCAGGUUCAGGUCCCGGUCCAGGACCAGGUUCAGGUUCAGGUCCUGGUCCAGGUCCAGAUUCAGGUUCAGGUCCAUCCUCUGAGACCGGUUUAACC